Long non-coding RNA from Culex quinquefasciatus (southern house mosquito), 345 nucleotides. RefSeq lists it as uncharacterized. The transcript is spliced from 4 exons. NCBI's taxonomy places the organism in Eukaryota, Metazoa, Arthropoda, Insecta, Diptera, Culicidae. The record is from RefSeq and is a predicted model, not a curated record.
GCAGCUCGCCUCGUUUUUGCUUAGCCACAAAAUUAGUUAAAGUGCGUAUUGCGCGAGGAAAAUAAUUCAGAAAUUUGUAAUAGUUAGCAGAACUACACUUAGCGCGAAACCACACAGCCCACCCAAGCCUACUUUGAGGUUAGAAAACGCCACCGAAUCCAACGGUCGAAGCAAGAAUUGUUUAAUUCGAUUGACCGGACGUUCGGUGAAGGAGAUAGUUAGGAGUGUUUCGGAUACACCGUUUAACCGAGGGAACCAUAAUCUUUCGAGCUGAACCAAACGGACACGCUACGAAGACGGUUUCUCGAGUAUUUUCUCCGAAAAUAAACACUUUUCUAACACCAG